Molecule: transfer RNA, 76 nt
Filed under: Candidatus Competibacter denitrificans
Lineage: Bacteria; Pseudomonadati; Pseudomonadota; Gammaproteobacteria; Candidatus Competibacteraceae
Also listed under: 6 other names
Description: tRNA-Thr
Rfam family: tRNA
About the family: Transfer RNA (tRNA) molecules are approximately 80 nucleotides in length. Their secondary structure includes four short double-helical elements and three loops (D, anti-codon, and T loops).
Source: RNAcentral
GCCGGAAUAGCUCAGUCGGUAGAGCAACUGAUUCGUAAUUAGUAGGUCGGAGGUUCGAUUCCUCUUUCCGGCACCA